UGAUAAUGUCAGGAGGUCCAAGAGGAGGUUACAAAUCCACACGGUGAAGAACAGCCUGGCAAAACCCUGCUGGUGCCUUUCCUGAAGCAGGAAUAGACAUGAGUAUCUACUUAUGGCAAGACUGGGAGUGGACCUAGAUAUAAAAAUGAGACUCUGUUUGUCCAUAAGAAGAUGUCUUCAUGCUCUAAGUUUCAACACAGCCACCUAAAUAGCCAAAGCUGAAAUUAAGUCAUGGGAAGAAAAGUGGAAGAAUAAAGGACUGUCCUUUCUUUUACUGUCUUCUGGA
This 286-nucleotide long non-coding RNA is filed under the name Anser brachyrhynchus (Pink-footed goose). Its description in RNAcentral is "lncRNA (ENSABRG00000008182.1)". Lineage: Eukaryota; Metazoa; Chordata; Aves; Anseriformes; Anatidae. The record is from RNAcentral.